UCAUACGGAUGUGUUCCUUCAGGUAAGGGAAUCUUCCAAUGCUUCUGUUCUAGUCUGUUCGUCUGGCCAAUACCUUAUUUGUUGAUUGGGAAUUUCUGCCUCUUGCCAACACAUUGGCACUUCCACUCAACUCAGACUCAUUGCCCCUCCUACCAUCAAAUCUUUUUUCUAAUUUUUAUUUGUCAGAUUUCCAUAAAACAUAUCUAAUACGUUGAAAAUGAGGGAUUGCUUUAUUUCUUCUUCCUGCAGAUUAAUAUCUUUUUUGCUCUAAUUAAGUAUGCACGUAAAUGUUUAACGUUUGCUUUCGUGUUUAAUAUUUAUAUGAACGUGUGGGUGAUAUGGAUACCCUAUG
This 352-nucleotide unclassified non-coding RNA is filed under the name Hevea brasiliensis (rubber tree). The record is from RNAcentral. Lineage: Eukaryota; Viridiplantae; Streptophyta; Magnoliopsida; Malpighiales; Euphorbiaceae.